GGCGCCAUAGCCAAGUGGUAAGGCGAAGCUCUGCAAAAGCUUUAUCCCUAGUUCGACUCUAGGUGGCGCCUCCA
RNAcentral lists this transfer RNA (74 nucleotides) under Cytobacillus solani. RNAcentral describes it as "tRNA-Cys". It matches the Rfam family "tRNA". Rfam says of the family: Transfer RNA (tRNA) molecules are approximately 80 nucleotides in length. Their secondary structure includes four short double-helical elements and three loops (D, anti-codon, and T loops). The record is from RNAcentral. Lineage: Bacteria; Bacillati; Bacillota; Bacilli; Caryophanales; Bacillaceae.